AGUGAACGCUGGCGGUAGGCCUAACACAUGCAAGUCGAACGGCAGCACAGUAAGAGCUUGCUCUUACGGGUGGCGAGUGGCGGACGGGUGAGGAAUACAUCGGAAUCUACUUUUUCGUGGGGGAUAACGUAGGGAAACUUACGCUAAUACCGCAUACGACCUACGGGUGAAAGCAGGGGAUCUUCGGACCUUGCUCGAUUGAAUGAGCCGAUGUCGGAUUAGCUAGUUGGCGGGGUAAAGGCCCACCAAGGCGACGAUCCGUAGCUGGUCUGAGAGGAUGAUCAGCCACACUGGAACUGAGACACGGUCCAGACUCCUACGGGAGGCAGCAGUGGGGAAUAUUGGACAAAGGGCGCAAGCCUGAUCCAGCCAUACCGCGUGGGUGAAGAAGGCCUUCGGGUUGUAAAGCCCUUUUGUUGGGAAAGAAAAGCAGCAGGUUAAUACCCCGCUGUUCUGACGGUACCCAAAGAAUAAGCACCGGCUAACUUCGUG
RNAcentral lists this ribosomal RNA (492 nucleotides) under uncultured bacterium. RNAcentral describes it as "partial 16S ribosomal RNA". It matches the Rfam family "Bacterial small subunit ribosomal RNA", at positions 29 to 507 of the family's 1533-position model. The record is from RNAcentral.